AUCCUGAGAGAGGGCUCUGAGAGCAGGCCAUGAUGAAUUAGACUUGCCUUGUCACCUUUCCUGCAAUCUACCCCAACAAAAUAACUUUGCCAACUCUAACAGUUUUGUAUGGUUUCCACAGCAAAUUACUGCAAACUUAGUGUCUUAAAACAACACAAAUUUAUAUCGUAGCUUUGUAGGGCAGAAAUCUGCCACAGGUCUUAGUGGGCUAAAAUCAAGGUGUCAGCAGGGCUGCAAUCCUUCCGUAAGCUGUUUCCUCAUGUUUUUGGUUUUCUGGAAGCCACUCACAUUUGCUCAUGGCCCCCUUCCUCCAUUUCAGAGUCAGAAAUAAUAGAUCGUGUCCUCACCCUGCAUCUCUCUGGCCACCUCUGCUUCCAGCUUCUACCUUUAAGGACCCUUGUGAUGACAUUGGGACCAGCUUCAUUUCUCCAAAUGUCCUCCUCUCAUACCUCUCCUUGCACAUCAAGCUGCUCACCCUUUGUGCUUUUGCACAUGCUGUUUGAUUAUGAAACUCCAUGACCCUCCUCCUCAUGAUUCACUUGACUGACUAUUCAACGCUCAGUUCAGGUGGCUCUUCCUUCAGAAAGCCUUUUUCCAUCUACUGUCCUACUGCCCCUCCCAAGUUAAGAGCAGGUGCUGCAAACGGACUGCAUUUGUUGGGGUUGCUCAGCAGGAAAUUGGGGGGGCAGUGAGUGACUCACCAAAACUGAGGGAUACGAAAGGACAAUAGAAUAACAACAGAGAAAAACAUGAAGACAGAAAGGUGUGUGGACUUGUUUUUGCCCACUCUUUCAUUGAUGGUACAGCACUUUAAAGGCCCUCGCUUUAGGCGAUGGCUCCUUUCAUAACUUCCUAACUUUCAGGACCUGAAGGACUCAUCUCCUAUGCCUGUGUGUGUCACUAGGCUUUUGAGACAGGUAAGGCAACACCUAUCACUUGCUGCCCCAACUUCCCAAUUUCUACCCCCAGUCCCAAUUUUUAUAGCCUCCUCUUCUGGACUACAUUUCCCUCUUUGAUUUUGUUCUUAAAGAAAUUGAGACUAGCUAAUUAAAAUUAAUGUAUGCACAUUUACUAUUUUGGUUACUUCUACAGCAAAACAAAACUAUUAGCUAAU
RNAcentral lists this long non-coding RNA (1114 nucleotides) under Homo sapiens (human). RNAcentral describes it as "HSALNT0336328". Lineage: Eukaryota; Metazoa; Chordata; Mammalia; Primates; Hominidae. The record is from RNAcentral.